GACCGCAACAUCCUAGAAUCGUCAGAUCGUGAUCCGAUCUAUAGAAUAAGCCAUGGACCGCGAGAAGCACUCGUGAAACACCGUUCGGUCCAUAGUGGACCGCGAGAAACUGAGGGGAAACACCCCCUCAGUCCAUAGAGCCACCCAUGUACUGCCCGGUCCAAGGUGGAUCGGGCUAUCAGGCUCCAAUGUAGGCGUGCGUGGGCUUGGGCCGCGCCCGCGCUCUCGUGUGCUUAGGCCUGAGCCGACCCGCACGUUGGGCUG
This 264-nucleotide long non-coding RNA is filed under the name Elaeis guineensis (African oil palm). Its description in RNAcentral is "long non-coding RNA (EGUI_LNC014357)". Lineage: Eukaryota; Viridiplantae; Streptophyta; Magnoliopsida; Arecales; Arecaceae. The record is from RNAcentral.